AGUGAGCGCUGGCGGUAGGCCUAACACAUGCAAGUCGAACGGCAGCACAGUAAGAGCUUGCUCUUACGGGUGGCGAGUGGCGGACGGGUGAGGAAUACAUCGGAAUCUUCUUUUUCGUGGGGGAUAACGUAGGGAAACUUACGCUAAUACCGCAUACGACCUACGGGUGAAAGCAGGGGAUCUUCGGACCUUGCGCGAUUGAAUGAGCCGAUGUCGGAUUAGCUAGUUGGCGGGGUAAAGGCCCACCAAGGCGACGAUCCGUAGCUGGUCUGAGAGGAUGAUCAGCCACACUGGAACUGAGACACGGUCCAGACUCCUACGGGAGGCAGCAGUGGGGAAUAUUGGACAAUGGGCGCAAGCCUGAUCCAGCCAUACCGCGUGGGUGAAGAAGGCCUUCGGGUUGUAAAGCCCUUUUGUUGGGAAAGAAAAGCAGCAGGUUAAUACCCCGCUGUUCUGACGGUACCCAAAGAAUAAGCACCGGCUAACUUCGUG
This 492-nucleotide ribosomal RNA is filed under the name uncultured bacterium. Its description in RNAcentral is "partial 16S ribosomal RNA". It matches the Rfam family "Bacterial small subunit ribosomal RNA", at positions 29 to 507 of the family's 1533-position model. The record is from RNAcentral.